CCUACGGGAGGCAGCAGUAGGGAAUCUUCCACAAUGGGCGCAAGCCUGAUGGAGCAACACCGCGUGAGUGAAGAAGGGUUUCGGCUCGUAAAGCUCUGUUGUUGGAGAAGAACGUGCGUGUGCGUAACUGUUCACGCAGUGACGGCAUCCAACCAGCAAGUGACGGCUAACUACGUGCCAGCAGGCGCGGGAAUACGUCGGGGGCAAGCGUUAUCCGGAUUUAUUGGGCGUAAAGGGAGCGCAGGCGGUUCGUUAGGUCUGAUGUGAAAGCCUUCGGCUUAACCGAAGAAGUGCAUCGGAAACCGGGGAACUAGAGUGCAGAAGAGGACAGUGGAACUCCAAGUGUAGCGGUGGAAUGCGUAGAUAUAUGGAAGAACACCAGUGGCGAAGGCGGCUGUCUGGUCUGCAACUGACGCUGAGGCUCGAAAGCAUGGGUAGCGAACAGGAUUAGAUACCCCAGUAGUC
This 465-nucleotide ribosomal RNA is filed under the name uncultured bacterium. Its description in RNAcentral is "partial 16S ribosomal RNA". It matches the Rfam family "Bacterial small subunit ribosomal RNA", at positions 338 to 795 of the family's 1533-position model. The record is from RNAcentral.